UUGUUUUGUUUUCAGUGCCUGAAAGAUCCUGAAGGCGUUCACUGAAGGUUCAGAAAUUCAUUGCCAAUCUGCAGACUUUCAGUGUCUCGAUACAGUGAUGGAUGAGGCAUCCUUAACCCAUCAAACCAUUCGUUAACAACACAUCUCAGUAGUUGGAGAACUACUGUGAAAACAUUAAAUGUAUUGAAAUUUGGUGAUCGAGCCACAAUCCGAGGCAUCAGGACUAUACGUGGAGAGCUUCUUAUUCUACAAUCUGCCAUGAGCAAACCCAAGUUCAAGAAUUCUCAGCAUGGAGGAAAGAGGCCAGAGUUCAGCUUGC
This is a long non-coding RNA of Rhincodon typus (whale shark), 319 nucleotides long. RefSeq lists it as uncharacterized. The record is from RefSeq and is a predicted model, not a curated record. The transcript is spliced from 3 exons. NCBI's taxonomy places the organism in Eukaryota, Metazoa, Chordata, Chondrichthyes, Orectolobiformes, Rhincodontidae.